RNAcentral lists this ribosomal RNA (492 nucleotides) under uncultured bacterium. Its description in RNAcentral is "partial 16S ribosomal RNA". It matches the Rfam family "Bacterial small subunit ribosomal RNA", at positions 29 to 507 of the family's 1533-position model. The record is from RNAcentral.
AGUGAACGCUGGCGGUAGGCCUAACACAUGCAAGUCGAACGGCAGCACAGUAAGAGCUUGCUCUUACGGGUGGCGAGUGGCGGACGGGUGAGGAAUACAUCUGAAUCUACUUUUUCGUGGGGGAUAACGUAGGGAAACUUACGCUAAUACCGCAUACGACCUACGGGUGAAAGCAGGGGAUCUUCGGACCUUGCGCGAUUGAAUGAGCCGAUGUCGGAUUAGCUAGUUGGCGGGGUAAAGGCCCACCAAGGCGACGAUCCGUAGCUGGUCUGAGAGGAUGAUCAGCCACACUGGAACUGAGACACGGUCCAGACUCCUACGGGAGGCAGCAGUGGGGAAUAUUGGACAAUGGGCGCAAGCCUGAUCCAGCCAUACCGCGUGGGUGAAGAAGGCCUUCGGGUUGUAAAGCCCUUUUGUUGGGAAAGAAAAGCAGCAGGUUAAUACCCCGCAGUUCUGACGGUACCCAAAGAAUAAGCACCGGCUAACUUCGUG